RNAcentral lists this long non-coding RNA (1945 nucleotides) under Salmo salar (Atlantic salmon). RNAcentral describes it as "lncRNA (ENSSSAG00000099669.1)". The record is from RNAcentral. Lineage: Eukaryota; Metazoa; Chordata; Actinopteri; Salmoniformes; Salmonidae.
UGGAGACCGGACUGCUGGUGUGGGAGGGUUUGGAGACCGGACUGCUGGUGUGGGAGGGUUUGGAGACCGGACUGCUGGUGUGGGAGGGUUUGGAGACCGGACUGCUGGUGUGGGAGGGUUUGGAGAUGGACUACUUUUUGCACCUUUUUUUUUUCUCUCCAACCAACAACAAAACAACACGGAGAGCCAGCUAAUGUUGACAGACACUGCUUCAACCUGCAAGCAUGUCACUUCUGUGUCCAUAAGCUUUCUAGCCUGCUGUUGAUCAAGAAAAAUAGAAAAUAUAUAUAUAAAAUCUUGAAUAUUUUGAUUUACGUAAAACAAAUGUAAUCCAUGGUGUCAGAUAUGGCCUACUGUGUGUAAAUAUGAGGAAGUUGCUGGUCUGAUGUCUGAUAUGAUGUGACGUGUACACCUGUGUAUAAGCCCAAGGUUUUUUCGCUGAAGGGAUUCUAGCUGCCCACCAAUGCUUCACUACUCAUUUCUUCUUGCAUCUUUCUCCUUAUUCAUUUAUCUUCUUUUCUGUUUUUCCUCACCCUCUCCUUAAAAUACAGAAAGACUUGCAACACCUGACCUUUUAUUUAAUUUCUCUCAGACGAUAUUGUAUUUUUAUUUUAUUUUUUCAUUUAGCAAUUUUACAUUUCUAGGCAAUGCGUUCACCUUUUGUAUUUACAUUUUCAAAUGCUGUGUAAUAGUGUAAUAUGGUUGUUACCUUCUAUUCUCAAAAUUGGUUGUAUAAAAAAAAAAAAGUGUUAAAAGGAGAAGCCGAAGGAUGGUUUAGCGUGUCAGUGAGAUUAGAGGGGUGAGGUGGAUCCCUGCCUGGGCUUCUGAUUUAACAAUGAUCUAGUACACAAACCUUGGCUGCCAUACUACUAUUAGGUACCUGAAUGUUGUGUGUGGUUGUAUUUUUACAAUAACAUUGGGGGGGUCGUUACUCCCACGGGAAAUGGGUAUGUUUAAGCUAUAGCAGACACUGGGGUGGGGGGCUGCUUUGAAUGUAAUUCAACUUCACACUACACUGCUGAGCAGAGUAGGGGCUAUAGACUUUUUGCUCCCCCUGGUCAUUUGAUGACAAAACUUGCCUUGGCAUUCAGUUUUCAUUGUGUUUCAUUGGAAUAUGUAUAGAUUGUCCCACAUGGGAUUAUAUUAAUAAGAUGUUUAUUCUCCCUCAACUUCCUCCCUAACUGUAGCAAUUUGUUGGUCCGCCCCCGCCCCCGAUCACUACUAACUCUAACGAUUGAAAAAUUAGAAUGAUUCUGAUGUUUUGUGGGCUGGAUUUGAUUUGAGUAAUUUAGUGCCAAUGUCGUUCCUGAUUUUCCUUUUAUGUUUUUUGUAUAUCUACAAGUAUUGAUCUAAAGAAUGAUCUAAUUUCCACAUUUUAUUUAUUCCAGAUUUUAGCCUUUUAAAUGAGAAGUGAUUUAUUUUAGAAUGGUAUGAGAUUAUGAUGUGUAUAGGCGUGGCAGGGUUUGCCCCGCUCCCUCUUCAGGGUCAGCUGAGUGACGAGGGUCGCGACGGGUUCAGGGGUCAAUCCUGAGUUUUCACCAUACCUCCUUGUACUGUUAGUUCCCAGUAUAACAUUGUGAUGUUUCGGACCAUAUCGUGAGCAUAAUCUUCAAUAAAGGAUGGAUACAUUUAGAUGUCAUUAUUAUACUCUCCGUGUUAACUUUCAGUCCUGCUGGGUGUGCGUGAAUACAGUCGUGGCCAAACGUUUUGAGAAUGACACAAAUAUUAAUUUUCAAAGUCUGCUGCCUCAGUCUGUAUGAUGGCAAUUUGCAUUUACUCCAGAAUGUUAUGAAGAGUGAUCAGAUUAAUUGCAAUUAAUUGCAAAGUCCCUCUUUGCCAUGCAAAUGGACUGAAUCCCCCAAAAAAACAUUUCCACUGCAUUUCAGCCCUGCCACAAAAGGACCAGCUGACAUCAUGUCAGUGAUUCUCUCGUUAACACAGGUGU